Molecule: ribosomal RNA, 304 nt
Filed under: uncultured bacterium
Lineage: Bacteria
Description: bacterial SSU rRNA
Rfam family: Bacterial small subunit ribosomal RNA
Source: RNAcentral
GCCUAACACAUGCAAGUCGAGCGGUAACAUUUCAAAAGCUUGCUUUUGAAGAUGACGAGUGGCUGGACGGGUGAGUAAUGCCUGGGAAUUUGCCCAUUUGUGGGGGAUAACAGUUGGAAACGACUGCUAAUACCGCAUACGCCCUACGGGGGAAAGCAGGGUGACCUUCGGGCCUNUGCGCUGAUGGAUAAGCCCAGGUGGGAUUAGCUAGUAGGUGAGGUAAAAGGCUCACCUAGGCGACGAUCCCUUAGCUAGGUCUGAGAGGAUGAUCAGCCACAACUGGGGACUAGAGACACGGCCCAGA